CUUUGUUUGUCAUUUGUGACAUGAUUUCUACGUGAACAACACAAGCCUCGAAUUCCUAUUUAUUCUCGACACAAGCUCAGAUGCCUCGGUUCAAAUGUCACAUCACUGUGCACUCUUGAACAGAAAGAUGGUGACUGCAGCUCGAUUAUAAAUGUUCGUGUACAUCACACAACUCGUUCACAGGGUUAUUGUUAUAGUUGUGCUAAGCCAUGUUGUACGCAGUAUGUACAAAGACUGGUUACAAGGAUGAUUGACAGGAGGAGAGCCCCGCCCACCACAGACAGCAGUGUAGUGGAGUCCAUAACUGAGGAGACAAUGCGAGAACAUUGAUUUAUGGCAGUAUUUGGCCAAAGCAGAGAGCCUCCUCAUUCUUCUGAAUCUGUGGUUUUAGGUUAGUGUGACUGUGACUAAACCAGGGAAAUGUUUCCAUAUGCUAAUUUUGUAUAAAUGAAGCCGCAUAUGAAAGGUCAGGUAACUCAUUUCAUUUGGUUUUUAUGAAGCUGACUUGUUUUAAUGAAAAAGCAGCAAGUGGGUUUACUAUUUCUUGAUGUUAGCAAUAAGAACUGGUCUCUUUAAAAUCUUUAAGAAACAUGAAAACACAGAUCUUCCAUCCAUGAGCUCAUGAUCAUUUAUUCCUUAUCAUUUAAUACACUGUUCUUAAAACCUGCU
This is a long non-coding RNA of Cyprinus carpio carpio, 669 nucleotides long. The record is from Ensembl. Lineage: Eukaryota; Metazoa; Chordata; Actinopteri; Cypriniformes; Cyprinidae.